RNAcentral lists this ribosomal RNA (253 nucleotides) under uncultured bacterium. RNAcentral's name for it is "partial 16S ribosomal RNA". It matches the Rfam family "Bacterial small subunit ribosomal RNA", at positions 524 to 776 of the family's 1533-position model. The record is from RNAcentral.
UACGAAGGGGGCUAGCGUUGCUCGGAAUCACUGGGCGUAAAGGGUGCGUAGGCGGGUCUUUAAGUCAGGGGUGAAAUCCUGGAGCUCAACUCCAGAACUGCCUUUGAUACUGAGGAUCUUGAGUACGGGAGAGGUGAGUGGAACUGCGAGUGUAGAGGUGAAAUUCGUAGAGAUGCGGAGGAAUACCAGUGGCGAAGGCGGCCUUCUGGGACUCAACUGACGCUGAAGCGCGAAAGCAUGGGGAGCGAACGGG